RNAcentral lists this ribosomal RNA (468 nucleotides) under uncultured bacterium. RNAcentral's name for it is "partial 16S ribosomal RNA". It matches the Rfam family "Bacterial small subunit ribosomal RNA", at positions 28 to 507 of the family's 1533-position model. The record is from RNAcentral.
GACGAACGCUGGCGGCGUGCUUAACACAUGCAAGUCGAACGGAAAGGCCCUGCUUUUGUGGGGUGCUCGAGUGGCGAACGGGUGAGUAACACGUGAGUAACCUGCCCUUGACUUUGGGAUAACUUCAGGAAACUGGGGCUAAUACCGGAUAGGAGCUCCUGCUGCAUGGUGGGGGUUGGAAAGUUUCGGCGGUUGGGGAUGGACUCGCGGCUUAUCAGCUUGUUGGUGGGGUAGUGGCUUACCAAGGCUUUGACGGGUAGCCGGCCUGAGAGGGUGACCGGCCACCUUGGGACUGAGAUACGGCCCAGACUCCUACGGGAGGCAGCAGUGGGGAAUAUUGCACAAUGGGCGGAAGCCUGAUGCAGCAACGCCGCGUGCGUGAUGACGGCCUUCGGGUUGUAAACCGCUUUCGCCUGUGACGAAGCGUGAGUGACGGUAAUGGGUAAAGAAGCACCGGCUAACUACGUG